RNAcentral lists this ribosomal RNA (113 nucleotides) under Otolemur garnettii (small-eared galago). The record is from RNAcentral. Lineage: Eukaryota; Metazoa; Chordata; Mammalia; Primates; Galagidae.
GUCUAUAGCCGUACCACCCUGAACACACAGAUCUUGUCUGAUCUUGGAAAGUAAGCAGGAUCAGACCUAGUUAGUACCUGGAGGGGAGACAAGAAGCCAGGCCUCUGUGGCAU